RNAcentral lists this long non-coding RNA (243 nucleotides) under Elaeis guineensis (African oil palm). RNAcentral describes it as "long non-coding RNA (EGUI_LNC067416)". Lineage: Eukaryota; Viridiplantae; Streptophyta; Magnoliopsida; Arecales; Arecaceae. The record is from RNAcentral.
AUUGAAGUACUUAAUAAAAAAUUAGUUUGUAUCAUAUACAAACUUUUAGCAAUAUUUACUGAUUUCACGAUUGUAAGGUACUCCUUAUAAUUUCUCUUUCAGUAGCCCUCCUUGCCACAUUGAUAGCCAGUACCUUUGGCGGAGACCUUCUUUGUCUUCUUCUUGGAUAUGCUAGCUUUAGGGUUUAUCUUUUUCUUAUAACUCUUCUUUGUCUUCUUCUUGCUGAUCUUAUCAACAUGAAGG